This is a non-coding RNA of Podarcis lilfordi (Lilford's wall lizard), 74 nucleotides long. Lineage: Eukaryota; Metazoa; Chordata; Lepidosauria; Squamata; Lacertidae. The record is from the annotation of a GenBank genome assembly.
UUCAUGGCUCAAUGGUAGAGGAUCUGCCUAGCAUGCAGAAGGUCUCAGGUUCAAUCCCAGUGGCAUCUGGGAAA